Molecule: ribosomal RNA, 253 nt
Filed under: uncultured bacterium
Lineage: Bacteria
Description: partial 16S ribosomal RNA
Rfam family: Bacterial small subunit ribosomal RNA
Source: RNAcentral
UACAGAGGGUGCAAGCGUUGUUCGGAAUUAUUGGGCGUAAAGCGCGUGUAGGCGGCUUUGCAAGUCGGGUGUGAAAGCCCUCGGCUCAACCGAGGAAGUGCGCCCGAAACUGCAGAGCUUGAGUACCGGAGAGGAUGGCGGAAUUCCCCAAGUAGAGGUGAAAUUCGUUGAUAUGGGGAGGAACACCGGUGGCGAAGGCGGCCUUCUGGACAGUGACUGACGCUGAGACGCGAAAGCGUGGGGAGCAAACAGG